RNAcentral lists this ribosomal RNA (522 nucleotides) under uncultured bacterium. RNAcentral's name for it is "bacterial SSU rRNA". It matches the Rfam family "Bacterial small subunit ribosomal RNA", at positions 40 to 526 of the family's 1533-position model. The record is from RNAcentral.
CGGCGUGCCUAAUACAUGCAAGUCGUGCGGUAAGGCUCUGCACUUUUUAUUCGAUCGGGAUUUUAUCCUACGCCGUGGCCGGCUAGCCAUGGCAGAAAGAUCGAAUACGGAGUGUAGAGUACACGAGCGGCGGACGGGUGAGUAACGCGUAAGAACCUACCCCAAACUGAGGGAUAACUGCUCGAAAGAGUAGCUAAUACCGCAUGUGCUCUACGGAGUAAAGCUUCGGCGGUUUGGGAAGGGCUUGCGUCUGAUUAGCUAGUUGGUAAGGUAACGGCUUACCAAGGCGACGAUCGGUAGCUGGUUUGAGAGGAUGAUCAGCCACACUGGGACUGAGACACGGCCCAGACUCCUACGGGAGGCAGCAGUAGGGAAUUUUCCACAAUGGGCGAAAGCCUGAUGGAGCGACGCCGCGUGCAGGAUGAAGGCCUUUGGGUCGUAAACUGCUUUUCUCUGUGACGAUUAUGACGGUAGCAGAGGAAUAAGGGUCGGCUAACUACGUGCCAGCCGCCGCCGUAACAC